GCCCAGGUAGCUCAGUCGGUAGAGCAAAGGACUGAAAAUCCUUGUGUCGGUGGUUCGAUUCCGCCCCUGGGCA
RNAcentral lists this transfer RNA (73 nucleotides) under Alphaproteobacteria bacterium. Its description in RNAcentral is "tRNA-Phe". It matches the Rfam family "tRNA". From Rfam's summary of the family: Transfer RNA (tRNA) molecules are approximately 80 nucleotides in length. Their secondary structure includes four short double-helical elements and three loops (D, anti-codon, and T loops). RNAcentral also lists the same sequence under 1 other name. Lineage: Bacteria; Pseudomonadati; Pseudomonadota; Alphaproteobacteria. The record is from RNAcentral.